This 75-nucleotide antisense RNA is filed under the name Streptomyces orinoci. Its description in RNAcentral is "ASpks TB sRNA". It matches the Rfam family "ASpks TB sRNA". The record is from Rfam by way of RNAcentral. Lineage: Bacteria; Bacillati; Actinomycetota; Actinomycetes; Kitasatosporales; Streptomycetaceae.
CUUCAGCGAACCCAGCCAGAGCGGCCGUUGGGCCGGACGGUCCUGUCCAUAGGUGGCCAGCAGGGCCUCCGCCUC